UACGGAGGGUGCAAGCAUUAAUCGGAUUUAUUGGGCGUAAAGGGCGCGUAGGCGGACUUGUAAGUCAGAUGUGAAAUACCAAAGCUCAACUUUGGUGCUGCAUUUGAAACUGCAAGACUUGAGGGUCGGCGGAGAAAAUGGAAUUCCACGUGUAGCGGUGAAAUGCGUAGAUAUGUGGAAGAACACCUGUGGCGAAAGCGAUUUUCUAGCUGAUACCUGACGCUGAGGCGCGAGAGCAAGGGGAGCAAACAGG
RNAcentral lists this ribosomal RNA (253 nucleotides) under uncultured bacterium. RNAcentral describes it as "partial 16S ribosomal RNA". It matches the Rfam family "Bacterial small subunit ribosomal RNA", at positions 524 to 776 of the family's 1533-position model. The record is from RNAcentral.